This 258-nucleotide ribosomal RNA is filed under the name uncultured bacterium. RNAcentral describes it as "partial 16S ribosomal RNA". It matches the Rfam family "Bacterial small subunit ribosomal RNA", at positions 793 to 1055 of the family's 1533-position model. The record is from RNAcentral.
GUCCACACCGUAAACGAUGGAUACUAGGUGUUCGGGCUUCGGCCCUGAGUGCCCAAGGGAAACCGAUAAGUAUCCCACCUGGGGAGUACGUCCGCAAGGAUGAAACUCAAAGGAAUUGACGGGGCCCGCACAAGCGGUGGAGCAUGUGGUUUAAUUCGAUGAUACGCGAGAAACCUUACCUGGGCUAGAAUGCCCCUGACCGCCCGUGAAAGCGGGUUUUCCUUCGGGACAUGGUGCAAGGUGCUGCAUGGUUGUCGU